This 76-nucleotide transfer RNA is filed under the name Candidatus Altimarinota bacterium. RNAcentral's name for it is "tRNA-Met". It matches the Rfam family "tRNA". Rfam says of the family: Transfer RNA (tRNA) molecules are approximately 80 nucleotides in length. Lineage: Bacteria; Candidatus Altimarinota. The record is from RNAcentral.
GCCAAUGUAGCUCAGGUGGUAGAGCACAAGAUUCAUACCCUUGCGGUCGGCAGUUCAACUCUGCCCAUUGGCACCA